Molecule: ribosomal RNA, 465 nt
Filed under: uncultured Klebsiella sp.
Lineage: Bacteria; Pseudomonadati; Pseudomonadota; Gammaproteobacteria; Enterobacterales; Enterobacteriaceae
Description: bacterial SSU rRNA
Rfam family: Bacterial small subunit ribosomal RNA
Source: RNAcentral
CCUACGGGAGGCUGCAGUGGGGAAUAUUGCACAAUGGGCGCAAGCCUGAUGCUGCCAUGCCGCGUGUGUGAAGAAGGCCUUCGGGUUGUAAAGCACUUUCAGCGGGGAGGAAGGCGUUAAGGUUAAUAACCUUGGCGAUUGACGUUACCCGCAGAAGAAGCACCGGCUAACUCCGUGCCAGCAGCCGCGGUAAUACGGAGGGUGCAAGCGUUAAUCGGAAUUACUGGGCGUAAAGCGCACGCAGGCGGUCUGUCAAGUCGGAUGUGAAAUCCCCGGGCUCAACCUGGGAACUGCAUUCGAAACUGGCAGGCUAGAGUCUUGUAGAGGGGGGUAGAAUUCCAGGUGUAGCGGUGAAAUGCGUAGAGAUCUGGAGGAAUACCGGUGGCGAAGGCGGCCCCCUGGACAAAGACUGACGCUCAGGUGCGAAAGCGUGGGGAGCAAACAGGAUUAGAUACCCCUGUAGUC